This 253-nucleotide ribosomal RNA is filed under the name uncultured bacterium. RNAcentral describes it as "partial 16S ribosomal RNA". It matches the Rfam family "Bacterial small subunit ribosomal RNA", at positions 524 to 776 of the family's 1533-position model. The record is from RNAcentral.
UACAGAGGUCUCAAGCGUUGUUCGGAUUCAUUGGGCGUAAAGGGUGCGUAGGCGGCCCGGUAAGUCAGUGGUGAAAGCCUCCAGCUCAACUGGAGAACUGCCAUUGAUACUGCCGGGCUUGAGUACAGACGAGGUUGGCGGAAUUGAUUGUGUAGCGGUGAAAUGCAUAGAUACAAUCAAGAACUCCGAUUGCGUAGGCAGCUAACUAGGCUGUAACUGACGCUGAGGCACGAAAGCGUGGGGAGCGAACAGG